RNAcentral lists this ribosomal RNA (378 nucleotides) under uncultured bacterium. RNAcentral describes it as "bacterial SSU rRNA". It matches the Rfam family "Bacterial small subunit ribosomal RNA", at positions 335 to 695 of the family's 1533-position model. The record is from RNAcentral.
ACUCCUACGGGAGGCAGCAGUGGGAAUAUUGCACAAUGGGGAAAGCCAUCGAUGCAGCCAUGCCGCGCUGUGUGAAGAAGGCCAAUUCGGGGCUUUGGUUAAAGACACUUUCAGUAGGGAGGAAGGUAGUGUAGUUAACACCUGCACUAUUUGACGUUACCUACAGAAGAAGCACCGGCUAACUCCGUGCCAGCAGCCGCGGUAAUACGGAGGGUGCGAGCGUUAAUCGGAAUUACUGGGCGUAAAGCGCAUGCAGGCGGCCUGUUAAGUCAGAUGUGAAAGCCCGGGGCUUAACCUCGGAAUUGCAUUUGAAACUGGUAGGCUAGAGUCUUGUAGAGGGGGUGAGAAUUAUCAGGUGUAGCGGUGAAAUGCGUAGAG